GUCCACGCCGUAAACGAUGAAUGCCAGUCGUCGGGUUGCUUGCAACUCGGUGACACACCUAACGGAUUAAGCAUUCCGCCUGGGGAGUACGGUCGCAAGAUUAAAACUCAAAGGAAUUGACGGGGGCCCCGCACAAGCGGUGGAGCAUGUGGUUUAAUUCGAAGCAACGCGCAGAACCUUACCAACCCUUGACAUCCCCUGACCGGUCCAGAGAUGGACUUUUCCCGUAAGGGACAGGGAGACAGGUGCUGCAUGGCUGUCGU
RNAcentral lists this ribosomal RNA (263 nucleotides) under uncultured bacterium. RNAcentral's name for it is "partial 16S ribosomal RNA". It matches the Rfam family "Bacterial small subunit ribosomal RNA", at positions 793 to 1055 of the family's 1533-position model. The record is from RNAcentral.